UAGGGAAUCUUCCGCAAUGGACGAAAGUCUGACGGAGCAACGCCGCGUGAGUGAAGAAGGUUUUCGGAUCGUAAAACUCUGUUGUGAGGGAAGAACAAGUACCAAGUAACUACUGGUACCUUGACGGUACCUCACCAGAAAGCCACGGCUAACUACGUGCCAGCAGCCGCGGUAAUACGUAGGUGGCAAGCGUUGUCCGGAAUUAUUGGGCGUAAAGCGCGCGCAGGCGGUCCUUUAAGUCUGAUGUGAAAGCCCACGGCUCAACCGUGGAGGGUCAUUGGAAACUGGGGGACUUGAGUGCAGAAGAGGAAAGUGGAAUUCCACGUGUAGCGGUGAAAUGCGUAGAGAUGUGGAGGAACCCCAGUGGCGAAGGCGACUUUCUGGUCUGUAACUGACGCUGAGGCGCGAAAGCGUGGGGAGCAAACA
Molecule: ribosomal RNA, 426 nt
Filed under: uncultured Planococcus sp.
Lineage: Bacteria; Bacillati; Bacillota; Bacilli; Caryophanales; Caryophanaceae
Description: bacterial SSU rRNA
Rfam family: Bacterial small subunit ribosomal RNA
Source: RNAcentral